RNAcentral lists this long non-coding RNA (417 nucleotides) under Capsicum annuum. Its description in RNAcentral is "long non-coding RNA (CANN_LNC011373)". Lineage: Eukaryota; Viridiplantae; Streptophyta; Magnoliopsida; Solanales; Solanaceae. The record is from RNAcentral.
GUUCAAUCAAUUCGUUGAAAGAUACAUCCCGAAGAAAGGAAAAAAUUACGCUUGCACAAAUUAUGAUGGGUGGCUUGAUGGGACAUAAUUUUGGUACGAUCUAUAUAAUAUGACUUAUCUUGUUAAACUGUUCACAAGUUCUGAUUGUGCCGUAACAUUUGGUGUAUGCCAUCUUCAUGUUAAAAGUUUUUUACUAGUCUUGCUGGAUGGAUAAAUAUAAUUUCAAUCGAUUAUGUCUUCGACAGGUAAAGAAGAAAGACGGGAGGUUGAAAAUGCAAGGAAAUAUUUGGUGUUGUCUCAUACUUGAUUGUGGACUUCUAUUCAUUCCUGGGAGUUGCAACUUGCAAUCCAUUGUGCUUCAUUUUAAGUGUUUUUAAUCAUCAGUGAAGCUUUACAUUUGGCUCAGGGAUUUUGUUU